AGAGUUUGAUCCUGGCUCAGGACGAACGCUGGCGGCGUGCUUAACACAUGCAAGUCGAACGAUGAUCUGGGAGCUUGCUUCUGGUGAUUAGUGGCGAACGGGUGAGUAACACGUGAGCAAUCUGCCCUUGACUCUGGGAUAACUGCGGGAAACUGUAGCUAAUACCGGAUAUGACCUAAGAAGGCAUCUUUUUGGGUGGAAAGAAUUUUGGUCAGGGAUGAGCUCGCGGCCUAUCAGCUUGUUGGUGAGGUAAUGGCUCACCAAGGCGACGACGGGUAGCCGGCCUGAGAGGGUGACCGGCCACACUGGGACUGAGACACGGCCCAGACUCCUACGGGAGGCAGCAGUGGGGAAUAUUGCACAAUGGGCGCAAGCCUGAUGCAGCAACGCCGCGUGAGGGACGACGGCCUUCGGGUUGUAAACCUCUUUUAGUUANGGAAGAAGCGACUGGGUUUUCCUUGGGAAUUGACGGUACCCUGCAGAAAAAGCACCGGCUAACUACGUGCCAACAGCCCCGGGUAAUACGUAGGGUGCAAGCGUUGUCCCGAAUUAUUGGGGCGUUAAGAACUCCUAAGCCGGGGUUGUCCCCGUCUUGCUNUUAAAUNCCNAAGCACAANCUCCGGGUCUGC
This 629-nucleotide ribosomal RNA is filed under the name uncultured Cryobacterium sp. Its description in RNAcentral is "bacterial SSU rRNA". It matches the Rfam family "Bacterial small subunit ribosomal RNA", at positions 8 to 624 of the family's 1533-position model. Lineage: Bacteria; Bacillati; Actinomycetota; Actinomycetes; Micrococcales; Microbacteriaceae. The record is from RNAcentral.